GAUGAACGCUGGCGGCGUGCCUAAUACAUGCAAGUCGAGCGAACAGACGAGGCUCUUGCUCCUUUGACGUUAGCGGCGGACGGGUGAGUUACACGUAGGUAACCUACCUAUAUGACUGGGAUAACUUCGGGAAACCGGAUCUAAUACCGGAUAAUAUUUCGAACCGCAUGGUUCGAUAGUGAAAGAUGGCUUUGCUAUCACUUCUCGAUGGACCUGCGCCGUAUUAGCUAGUUGUUAAGGUAACGGCGUACCAGGGCAACGAUACGUAGCCGACCUGAGAGAGUGGUAGGCGACACUGGAGCUGGGACGCGGUCAAGGGUCCUAAGGGAGGCAGCAGUAGGGAAUGUGACGCAGUAGGCGAGAGCCUGACGGAGCAGCGGCGAGUGAGAGAUGGAGGUCUUCGGAUCGGAAAAAUCUGUUAUGAGGGAAGAACAGACGUGGAAGUAACUGUGCACGGCGUGACGGUACCGGAUCAGAAAGCAACGGCUAACUACGUG
This 497-nucleotide ribosomal RNA is filed under the name uncultured bacterium. Its description in RNAcentral is "partial 16S ribosomal RNA". It matches the Rfam family "Bacterial small subunit ribosomal RNA", at positions 28 to 507 of the family's 1533-position model. The record is from RNAcentral.